This 476-nucleotide ribosomal RNA is filed under the name uncultured bacterium. Its description in RNAcentral is "partial 16S ribosomal RNA". It matches the Rfam family "Bacterial small subunit ribosomal RNA", at positions 28 to 523 of the family's 1533-position model. The record is from RNAcentral.
AAUGAACGUUGGCGGCGUGGAUUAGGCGUGCAAGUCGAGCGUGUACCCCGCAAGGGGGAAAGCGGCGUAAGGGAGAGUAAUACGUAGAUACGUGCCUCCGGGUCUGGGAUAGCCACGGGAAACUGUGGGUAAUACCGGAUAAUGUCUGAGGACCAAAGGUGUGAUUCCACCUGGAGAUCGGUCUGCGUCCUAUCAUGCUUGUUGGUGAGGUAACGGCUCACCAAGGCUACGACGGGUACGGGGAGUGAGAGCUUGCCCCCGCUCACUGGGACUGGGACACUGCCCAGAAACCUACGGGUGGCUGCAGUCGAGGAUCUUCGGCAAUGGGCGCAAGCCUGACCGAGCGACGCCGCGUGCGGGAUGAAGGCCUUCGGGUUGUAAACCGCUGUCAGUGGGGAGGAAGGCUCCGUGAAGAACGGGGUUUGACCUAUCCGCAGAGGAAGUGUGGGCUAAGUUCGUGCCAGCCGCCGCAGUAA